UCGCCGACCUGGUCGGGGCGCGGCUGGACCGGCAGGCGAUCCUGACCCGGGAGCGGGGGCCGCUGUUCGUCGCGGUGGUCGACGAGC
Molecule: transfer RNA, 87 nt
Filed under: Nonomuraea sp. TT08I-71
Lineage: Bacteria; Bacillati; Actinomycetota; Actinomycetes; Streptosporangiales; Streptosporangiaceae
Description: tRNA-Leu
Source: RNAcentral